UUGAAAUUCAGCCACAACAACCGAGAUGUACUGAGAAGAAACGAGUUUUCCCCGUCGUCUCGACAUUUGCCUGAUGUUGGAUUCUAAACAUCGUCUCUCGGUCGGAGUUGAGAAGGAUUACAUGGAUGGAUGGUACGACGGUUCUGAAGUGCUCCGAAGAGAGAAGAGGACACAUGUAAUGGAGGGAAAACGAAACGGCGAGUCCUGGGUUGCUCAUGUGCUACGUUUGCCAGUUCUCAUUCUCGAAAGGCAAACUCCCUAUCCGAAAAGUUUUGGAAGGCAAUUUAUCCACAGAUCCCUACGGCAACGAGGCGAAUUGCUGCCCGACAAUUUGAGGACUAUGGAGAGAGAAGUGCAUCAAACUUCUACGACUCAGAUGGGAGGGUAUGGAACACAUUCAUGGGUCGGGAUUGAUUGAUACUGUCAGAUAUACUGGAGAUGGUCGAGGCGGGUAAUAAUACUGAUGCUGUAUAUUUCCAAGGCUCGAAAGGAAUCGUCGUAUUUCUAAACGCAUUUUCACACAAUUUGAGAGCGAUUUGAUAAGAGACGUGUUAUAAUAAACUGUACACACUGUC
Tigriopus californicus is the source of this 575-nucleotide long non-coding RNA. RefSeq lists it as uncharacterized. The transcript is spliced from 2 exons. NCBI's taxonomy places the organism in Eukaryota, Metazoa, Arthropoda, Copepoda, Harpacticoida, Harpacticidae. The record is from RefSeq and is a predicted model, not a curated record.